RNAcentral lists this small RNA (552 nucleotides) under Pan troglodytes (chimpanzee). RNAcentral's name for it is "processed transcript". Lineage: Eukaryota; Metazoa; Chordata; Mammalia; Primates; Hominidae. The record is from RNAcentral.
GAAAAGUUGCUCCAACUGACUUCGCAAAAUAUUGAAAUCAAGCUAGUGAGUGAUGUAACAGCUGAUUCAAAGGUAUUAGAAGCCUUGAAAUUAAAGGGCAAAUGAAUUAACAGGGAUGCAGGAGGCUUUUUCUGAAGGACUUUUCCCCACUCUCUGCACUGGGAGACACGAGAACUACACUAAAAUAAUGUUCCAGGCAAAGCCUUCUGUUAACAACGUGCCUCUCUGUGAGGUGUGUGAUGAGGAUCUCUGGGCCAGCAUAGCCCUUCCUUGAAGUUGGACACCAACAGCUUCAAGAACGGCAAGGAGCACAGCAGGUUCCUACUCCAGCUUGCGGUGUGAUCCUUGCCUGAAGCUUCUUCUCUUGUUAAUUAGAGAACCUGAUUCUUCUAAAGUGUCUCCACUCUCCUUUAUAACAUACAGACACAUGCUUUCCCUCCUUCUCCCCAAAAUCCUGAUACCCUCAUAUUCUUCUUACCAUUCCCUUCCUUUCCAUGGCCCAGGAGCAUUUCCCAUUUGAAAUUUCUGAGUUUCUCAGACUGAAUGAAGACU